Molecule: long non-coding RNA, 824 nt
Organism: Cygnus atratus (black swan)
Lineage: Eukaryota; Metazoa; Chordata; Aves; Anseriformes; Anatidae
Exons: 4
Source: RefSeq, a predicted model, not a curated record
AUUUUUAUGGAUUCCUGAGUAGCUGCUCUGUCAUGGUCUGGGAGUUGUCGGGGUCCAAGCUGGGUGUUUUGUUCAAGCACAAGUUAACUGUAUGUCUGUUCUCGUGCAUCUGAAAGCUGUGGUGAAGACAAGCUCACUGGUGGUAUGGCUGCUGCUGCACCAGCUCAGCCGACACCAAUUGUUCAAGCUGAGUGACACCAGUACUUACUACCUGAGAUGCAGAUGCCCCUUUUCUUUUUUUCUUUUUUCUUUUUUUUUGAAGAUCAUCAAACAUAUAGGGACCUUCUUCACCUGAAAGGAGCAGAGUUGGGAAUAAGGAUUCAGCUACCAGCUACCUAGCAUCCAGAGAAGCCUGUGGAAGCAACCGCCUGAAACAGUCCUCUCAGCACUUUCCACCUGUGUGCCUUAUCUCUGAAUCACCACUACUUUCUCCUGGCCCCGAGACAAUCUGCUUGUUGUUAAGCAUUUUCCCAUCUGUUUUUGCCUCCAUGUUGGAUUUCUCCUGGAUCCCGCAAGCAGUGACUUGUUUUGAAGGAAAAUGACCCAAAUGAAUCAGAAUACAAUUUGAAGAGCUUUCCACAUGCAGUUGCUAAAUCCUGGAAGGCUCCCUUCAGCAUUAGUGGUUUUGUAGUUGCUUCAGUGGCCUGGGCUAGCAAUGCCCUGGAAAGCAGAACUGGCCUCUGACCUCUUUGGUCUCGUGGGUUCAGUGUCUGGCUCAGAUUGUUUUCACUCCUUUUUCCUCAGACCUGUCUUUUUUUCCUCAGCUCUUCUUCUCUUACUCAGGUGGCAUUGCUCUUGUGCAAAUAUAUAUAACUUUUAAAUCA